RNAcentral lists this ribosomal RNA (432 nucleotides) under Staphylococcus aureus. Its description in RNAcentral is "bacterial SSU rRNA". It matches the Rfam family "Bacterial small subunit ribosomal RNA", at positions 364 to 788 of the family's 1533-position model. The record is from RNAcentral. Lineage: Bacteria; Bacillati; Bacillota; Bacilli; Caryophanales; Staphylococcaceae.
UACCGCAAUGGGCGAAAGCCUGACGGAGCAACGCCGCGUGAGUGAUGAAGGUCUUCGGAUCGUAAAACUCUGUUAUUAGGGAAGAACAUAUGUGUAAGUAACUGUGCACAUCUUGACGGUACCUAAUCAGAAAGCCACGGCUAACUACGUGCCAGCAGCCGCGGUAAUACGUAGGUGGCAAGCGUUAUCCGGAAUUAUUGGGCGUAAAGCGCGCGUAGGCGGUUUUUUAAGUCUGAUGUGAAAGCCCACGGCUCAACCGUGGAGGGUCAUUGGAAACUGGAAAACUUGAGUGCAGAAGAGGAAAGUGGAAUUCCAUGUGUAGCGGUGAAAUGCGCAGAGAUAUGGAGGAACACCAGUGGCGAAGGCGACUUUCUGGUCUGUAACUGACGCUGAUGUGCGAAAGCGUGGGGAUCAAACAGGAUUAGAUACCCC